This 19-nucleotide unclassified non-coding RNA is filed under the name Mus musculus (house mouse). RNAcentral's name for it is "oocyte_clustered_small_RNA12558". Lineage: Eukaryota; Metazoa; Chordata; Mammalia; Rodentia; Muridae. The record is from RNAcentral.
AGCAAGUACACACGCAGGA